AAGAGCUGCGGGAGCGGCGCGGGGAAGGGGGCGGUGUCGGCAGAGCAGGUAAUUGCUGGCUUCAACCGCCUUCGGCAGGAACAGCGAGGCCUGGCAUCCAAAGCAGCUGAGCUAGAAAUGGAAUUGAAUGAGCACAGAUCCAGAAGAUUAUUGAGACACUAACACAGCAGCUUCAGGCAAAGGGAAAAGAACUAAAUGAAUUCCGGGAAAAGCACAACAUUCGUCUCAUGGGGGAAGAUGAGAAGCCAGCAACCAAGGAAAACUCAGAAG
Long non-coding RNA from Choloepus didactylus (southern two-toed sloth), 270 nucleotides. RefSeq lists it as uncharacterized. The record is from RefSeq and is a predicted model, not a curated record. NCBI's taxonomy places the organism in Eukaryota, Metazoa, Chordata, Mammalia, Pilosa, Megalonychidae. The transcript is spliced from 3 exons.